ACUGCUCAGUAACACGUGGACAACCUGCCCUUAGGUUGGGUAUAAACCCGGGAAACUGGGUAUAAUACCCGAUAGGUCCCGAUUGCUGGAAUGCAUCGAGAUUUAAAGCUCCGGCGCCUAAGGAUGGGUCUGCGGCCUAUCAGGUAGUAGUGGGUGUAGCGUACCUACUAGCCUACGACGGGUACGGGUUGUGAGAGCAAGAGCCCGGAGAUGGAUUCUGAGACACGAAUCCAGGCCCUACGGGGUGCAGCAGGCGCGAAAACUUUACAAUGCUGGCAACAGCGAUAAGGGAACCUCGAGUGCCAGGUUACAAAUCUGGCUGUCGAGAUGCCUAAAAAGCAUUUCAUAGCAAGGGCCGGGCAAGACCGGUGCCAGCCGCCGCGGUAACACCGGCGGCUCGAGUGGUAACCGUUAUUAUUGGGUCUAAAGGGUCUGUAGCCGGCCGGAUAAGUCUCUUGAGAAAUCUGGCAGCUUAACUGUCAGGCUUUCAGGAGAUACUGUCUGGCUCGAGGCCGGGAGAGGUGAGAGGUACUUCAGGGGUAGGGGUGAAAUCUUGUAAUCCUUGAAGGACCACCAGUGGCGAAGGCGUCUCACCAGAACGGACCUGACGGCAAGGGACGAAAGCUAGGGGCACGAACCGGAUUAGAUACCCGGGUAGUCCUAGCCGUAAACGAUACUCGCUAGGUGUCGGCCACGGUGCGACCGUUGUCGGUGCCGUAGGGAAGCCGUGAAGCGAGCCACCUGGGAAGUACGGCCGCAAGGCUGAAACUUAAAGGAAUUGGCGGGGGAGCAC
Molecule: ribosomal RNA, 793 nt
Filed under: uncultured archaeon
Lineage: Archaea
Description: bacterial SSU rRNA
Rfam family: Archaeal small subunit ribosomal RNA
Source: RNAcentral